GAUGAACGCUGGCGGCGUGCCUAAUACAUGCAAGUCGAGCGAACAGACGAGGAGCUUGCUCCUCUGACGUUAGCGGCGGACGGGUGAGUAACACGUGGAUAACCUACCUAUAAGACUGGGAUAACUUCGGGAAACCGGAGCUAAUACCGGAUAAUAUAUUGAACCGCAUGGUUCAAUAGUGAAAGACGGUUUUGCUGUCACUUAUAGAUGGAUCCGCGCCGCAUUAGCUAGUUGGUAAGGUAACGGCUUACCAAGGCAACGAUGCGUAGCCGACCUGAGAGGGUGAUUGGCCACACUGGAACUGAGACACGGUCCAGACUCCUACGGGAGGCAGCAGUAGGGAAUCUUCCGCAAUGGGCGAAAGCCUGACGGAGCAACGCCGCGUGAGUGAUGAAGGUCUUCGGAUCGUAAAACGCUGUUAUUAGGGAAGAACAAAUGUGUAAGUAACGAUGCACGUCUUGACGGUACCGAAGCAGAAAGCCACGGCUAACUACGU
RNAcentral lists this ribosomal RNA (496 nucleotides) under uncultured bacterium. RNAcentral describes it as "partial 16S ribosomal RNA". It matches the Rfam family "Bacterial small subunit ribosomal RNA", at positions 28 to 506 of the family's 1533-position model. The record is from RNAcentral.